RNAcentral lists this ribosomal RNA (493 nucleotides) under Densocarpa shanorii. RNAcentral's name for it is "eukaryotic LSU rRNA". It matches the Rfam family "Eukaryotic large subunit ribosomal RNA", at positions 88 to 583 of the family's 3401-position model. The record is from RNAcentral. Lineage: Eukaryota; Fungi; Ascomycota; Pezizomycetes; Pezizales; Tarzettaceae.
UGCGAGUGAAGCGGCAGAAGCUCAAAUUUGAAAUCUGGGGCCUCCGCGGCCUCCGAGUUGUAAUUUCACGAUACAUCGUUGACCGAUGGUUCCGUCGUAAGUUCCUUGGAACAGGACGUCACAGAGGGUGAGAAUCCCGUGAAUGAUGGAGCCUGAGGCGUAUAACGUGUAUUCAACGAGUCGAGUUGUUUGGGAAUGCAGCUCAAAAUGGGUGGUAAAUUUCAUCUAAGGCUAAAUAUUGGCGAGAGACCGAUAGCGCACAAGUAGAGUGAUCGAAAGAUGAAAAGCACUUUGAAAAGAGAGUCAAAAAGUACGUGAAAUUGUUGAAAGGGAAGCGCUUGAGACCAGACUCAAUGGGUGGUGAUCAGCGGUGCUUCUGUGCCGUGCACUUUGCCAUCCGUUGGGCCAGCAUCGGUUCCGACGGUGGGACAAAGUCUUGGGGAAUGUAGCUCCCUUCGGGGAGUGUUAUAGCCCCUUGAGCAAUGCCAUCAGC